This is a long non-coding RNA of Asparagus officinalis (garden asparagus), 946 nucleotides long. RefSeq lists it as uncharacterized. The record is from RefSeq and is a predicted model, not a curated record. The transcript is spliced from 2 exons. Lineage: Eukaryota; Viridiplantae; Streptophyta; Magnoliopsida; Asparagales; Asparagaceae.
CUUCCGCCGCUGAUACCGCUGUCUCUCUUCCCUCAAAUUCCCACCGCCCCCACUCUCAGCGAUCUGGCUCUCUCUCCCCCCAAAUUCCCACCGCCAUGAUUCCUCGAUCUUCCUUGCCGGCCGAAUCCAAGAUUCGUGCUACCUCCCUCUUCCUCGCCGCUGAUCGCCGUCAUUCCUCCCUCUUCCGCUGUCUCUCUUCCCUCAAAUUCCCACCGCCCCCACUCUCAGCGAUCUGGCUCUCUCUCCCCCCAAAUUCCCACCGCCAUGAUUCCUCGAUCUUCCUUGCCGGCCGAAUCCAAGAUUCGUGCUACCUCCCUCUUCCUCGCCGCUGAUCGCCGUCAUUCCUCCCUCUUCCUUGCCGCCCGACGCCGUGACCUCCAUUAAUCCCGCUGUCGAGCCGACGCCGACGCCGAGAUAAGGUUAGCCAUGGCAAGAAAGAGUUUCUAUAUUGUGAAGAGAGGUCGACGAUGUGGCAUUUUCGAUAAUUGGGAGGAAUGCAAAUCUCAAGUUGAUAAAUUCCCAAAUGCCUCCUACAAAGGGUUUCAAACGUACGAAGAAGCUUUGCUUGAAUAGGAGAAACACACCAUCACUCGUGAUUCAGCAUCCAGCUCAAGGCAUGUCCUGACACCAGUUCAAUUUUAACAACAAAUACUUCCGUUGGGACAUAAUCUGGAUGAGGACAAGGCAAAACUUGGGGAAACUGCUAUUUCCUCCAUUUAUGCUUUUGUAUUAGGUUCAGUGUUUACAAUAUUAGUGUUUCUAGUAUGUGAUGUGAUUUGUGGAUGAUUCUUCUAUGUGAGGAUAAGCUUGUAUAACUUGGGUCAUUUUGUACUGAGUUUGAACUCAAUUUUCACAAUGUUUGAAGUCAGUUUGUGGUCAUUUUUGUGCUCAGUUUGUACUCUAUCAUGAGCUUGUUUGUGCUCAAUCAUGAGCUUGUUUGUGCUCA